GGUGGCUCAGUGAUAGAGUGCUUGCCUCGCAUGCAUGAGGCUCUAGGUUCGAUUCCUCAGCACCA
RNAcentral lists this transfer RNA (65 nucleotides) under Dipodomys ordii (Ord's kangaroo rat). It matches the Rfam family "tRNA". Rfam says of the family: Transfer RNA (tRNA) molecules are approximately 80 nucleotides in length. Their secondary structure includes four short double-helical elements and three loops (D, anti-codon, and T loops). The record is from Rfam by way of RNAcentral. Lineage: Eukaryota; Metazoa; Chordata; Mammalia; Rodentia; Heteromyidae.